CAAAAUGACCCAAAAAUACACCCCAAAAAUACCCUAAAAAUACCCCCAAAAAUAACCCAAAAACACCCCAAAAAAUACCUUAAAAAUAACCCCAAAAUAACCCAAAAAUAACUCAAAAUAACCCAAAAACACCCCCAAAAAUUACCCAAAAAUAGCCCCAAAAAUAACCCAAUAAUGUUUUUGGGGUCCCUCACUGUUUUUGGGGUCUCUCUGUGUGUUUUUUGGGGUUUCUCUGUAUUUUUGGGGUCCCCCAGUGUUUUUGGGGUCCCCCAGUAUUUUUGGCGUCUCUCUCUGUAUUUUUUUCGGGUCUCUCUGUAUUUUUUUGGGGUCUCUCUUUAUAAUUUUUUGGGGUCCCUCAGUGUUUUUGGGGUCCCCCAGUGUUUUUUGGGGUCUCUCUCUGUGUAUUUUUUUGGGGUCCCCCCGUGUUUUUUGGGGUCUCUCUGUAUUUUUUUGGGGUCUCUCUAUAUUUCUUUGGGGUCCCUCAGUGUUUUUGGCAUCUGUCUCUGUAUUUUUUUGGGGUCUCUCUAUAUUUUUUUGGGGUCUUUCUGUGUUUUUUGGGGUCCCCCAGUGUUUUUGGGGUCUCUGUAUUUUUUUGGGGUCUCUCUGUAUAUUUUUUUGGGGUCCCUCAGUGUUUUUUGGGGUCUCUCUCUAUAUUUUUUUGGGGACCCCCAGUGUUUUUGGGGUCUCUCUCUGUAUUUUUGGGGUCCCCCAGUGUUUUUGGGGUUUCUCUCUGUAUUUUUUUGGGGUCCCUCAGUGUUUUUUGGGGUCCCCCAGUGUUUUUUGGGGUCCCCCAGUGUUUUUGGCAUCUCUCUCUGUAUUUUUUUGGGGUCUUUCUGUGUUUUUUGGGCUCCCCCUGUGUUUUUGGGGUCCCCCCGUGUUUUUUGGGGUCUCUCUGUAUUUUUUUGGGGUCUCUCUAUAUUUCUUUGGGGUCCCUCAGUGUUUUUGGCAUCUCUCUCUGUAUUUUUUUGGGGUCUCUCUAUAUUUUUUUGGGGUCUUUCUGUGUUUUUUGGGGUCCCCCAGUG
RNAcentral lists this long non-coding RNA (1022 nucleotides) under Cyanistes caeruleus (blue tit). RNAcentral's name for it is "lncRNA (ENSCCEG00000003016.1)". The record is from RNAcentral. Lineage: Eukaryota; Metazoa; Chordata; Aves; Passeriformes; Paridae.